RNAcentral lists this ribosomal RNA (519 nucleotides) under bacterium A6M_VP7_F1. Its description in RNAcentral is "bacterial SSU rRNA". It matches the Rfam family "Bacterial small subunit ribosomal RNA", at positions 337 to 874 of the family's 1533-position model. The record is from RNAcentral.
UAAUACGGGAGGCAGCAGUGGGGAAUCUUGGACAAUGGGGGCAACCCUGAUCCAGCCAUGCCGCGUGAGUGAUGAAGGCCCUAGGGUCGUAAAGCUCUUUCGCCUGUGAAGAUAAUGACGGUAGCAGGUAAAGAAACCCCGGCUAACUCCGUGCCAGCAGCCGCGGUAAUACGGAGGGGGUUAGCGUUGUUCGGAAUUACUGGGCGUAAAGCGCACGUAGGCGGAUCGGAAAGUUGGGGGUGAAAUCCCGGGGCUCAACCCCGGAACUGCCUCCAAAACUAUCGGUCUAGAGUUCGAGAGAGGUGAGUGGAAUUCCGAGUGUAGAGGUGAAAUUCGUAGAUAUUCGGAGGAACACCAGUGGCGAAGGCGGCUCACUGGCUCGAUACUGACGCUGAGGUGCGAAAGUGUGGGGAGCAAACAGGAUUAGAUACCCUGGUAGUCCCCACCGUAAACGAUGAAUGCCAGUCGUCGGGUAGCAUGCUAUUCGGUGACACACCUAACGGAUUAAGCAUUCCGCCU